UGAACAGAAAUCGAAUUAAAUGAAGAUGAAUUGAGGCAACAAAACCACUGAAAGCGAGGCUGGAUUAUGUACCAGGCCAGAACUCAGAGGUCUGCGAAACCUAAAGCAGGUGUUUUAGCAAAAAGAUAAAGUAAUCCGACAGUUUUGUGAAGGGCCACCUUGGACCUCAUGUCAUGUCACACGUUUGGCCCAACAUUUGGUAAAUAUGCAGUGAGCGACGUCACGCGAACGCCUCGCAAUGGUGAGAGGCAGAACGCACUCAAUGCUUUAGCGAGAGGAAGAGCGAGAGUAGCACGCGCUCACAGCCACUCUAAAUCUAUCCCCAUCCAACACAGCCGCGG
Long non-coding RNA from Carassius carassius (crucian carp), 341 nucleotides. RefSeq lists it as uncharacterized. The transcript is spliced from 3 exons. The record is from RefSeq and is a predicted model, not a curated record. Lineage: Eukaryota; Metazoa; Chordata; Actinopteri; Cypriniformes; Cyprinidae.